AAAAACCGUAACCGUUUU
Molecule: small RNA, 18 nt
Filed under: Arabidopsis thaliana (thale cress)
Lineage: Eukaryota; Viridiplantae; Streptophyta; Magnoliopsida; Brassicales; Brassicaceae
Description: ATSL022550
Source: RNAcentral